This 460-nucleotide ribosomal RNA is filed under the name uncultured ammonia-oxidizing beta proteobacterium. RNAcentral describes it as "bacterial SSU rRNA". It matches the Rfam family "Bacterial small subunit ribosomal RNA", at positions 202 to 645 of the family's 1533-position model. The record is from RNAcentral. Lineage: Bacteria; Pseudomonadati; Pseudomonadota; Betaproteobacteria.
AAGCAGGGGAUCGUAAGACCUUGCGCUUUUGGAGUGGCCGAUGCCUGAUUAGCUAGUUGGUAGGGUAAAGGCCUACCAAGGCGACGAUCAGUAGUUGGUCUGAGAGGACGACCAGCCACACUGGGACUGAGACACGGCCCAGACUCCUACGGGAGGCAGCAGUGGGGAAUUUUGGACAAUGGGCGCAAGCCUGAUCCAGCAAUGCCGCGUGAGUGAAGAAGGCCUUCGGGUUGUAAAGCUCUUUCAGUCGAGAAGAAAAAGUUGUGGUGAAUAAUCACAAUUUAUGACGGUAUCGACAGAAGAAGCACCGGCUAACUACGUGCCAGCAGCCGCGGUAAUACGUAGGGUGCAAGCGUUAAUCGGAAUUACUGGGCGUAAAGGGUGCGCAGGCGGCUUUGUAAGUCAGAUGUGAAAUCCCCGGGCUUAACCUGGGAAUUGCGUUUGAAACUACAAGGCUUAG